This 373-nucleotide ribosomal RNA is filed under the name uncultured organism. RNAcentral's name for it is "partial 16S ribosomal RNA". It matches the Rfam family "Bacterial small subunit ribosomal RNA", at positions 526 to 896 of the family's 1533-position model. The record is from RNAcentral.
GUUAGGUGGCAAGCGUUGUCCGGAAUUAUUGGGCGUAAAGCGCGCGCAGGGCGGUCCUUUAAGUCUGAUGUGAAAGCCCACGGCUCAACCGUGGAGGGUCAUUGGAAACUGGGGGACUUGAGUACAGAAGAGGAAAGCGGAAUUCCAAGUGUAGCGGUGAAAUGCGUAGAGAUUUGGAGGAACACCAGUGGCGAAGGCGGCCUUCUGGUCUGUAACUGACGCUGAGGCGCGAAAGCGUGGGGAGCAAACAGGAUUAGAUACCCUGGUAGUCCACGCCGUAAACGAUGAGUGCUAAGUGUUAGGGGGUUUCCGCCCCUUAGUGCUGCAGCUAACGCAUUAAGCACUCCGCCUGGGGAGUACGGCCGCAAGGCUG